Long non-coding RNA from Carya illinoinensis, 811 nucleotides. RefSeq lists it as uncharacterized. The transcript has 2 exons. NCBI's taxonomy places the organism in Eukaryota, Viridiplantae, Streptophyta, Magnoliopsida, Fagales, Juglandaceae. The record is from RefSeq and is a predicted model, not a curated record.
ACCAUGCCUCUCUCUCUCUCUCUCUCUCUCUCUCUCUCUCUCCCGUAAGUCUUCUUCUCUUCUUUGUCAAACUUCUCUCUCUCUUCUAACUCCUAGCCAGAGCAGCAGCUGAAGCACCGUCGACUCCUCUUCCAUGUUGCCCCCGUCACUCGAUCUCACUUUGGGGGGCUCUACUUAGUACCUGGUCGCCUUUCCCUGGUCACGGCUGUGCAUUGAAUUUGCUUUUCAAUGCGUUGGUAGUGCGUGAGUAGUAUUUUGGUUGGCCAGAUCUACCAUGGUUUUUUUGUAUUUUUGAGGAUCUGGGUGAGUUUUACUCUUCAGAUUAGAAGCCCCCAAAUCUCUCUCUCUCUCUCUCUGAGGAAACCCUAGCCAAUGCAUCGUGCCUUUGCUUCCGUUGCUCUCUCGCUGGACUUUUGGAUCACCACCUUCAACAGAAAUUGCCAAUAGCUAAUUUAGGUGAAUUUGUGAGUGAAAUGCUUGCUAGUGGACUUGAAGGACCCAUACCAUCAUCUAUUUCUAUUUUGGAAAAGUUAAAAGAUUUGUUGACAUUAUUUGCAACUUAUAGAAUAUUUUUAUUGUUUAUUUAUUGGCAUUAUUUCCUUUUGAAAUGGACAUGAAUGUGUGCUAUGGGAAAUUGCUAUAGCUUGCAAAAAUAUCAUAGAUAUUUAAUUUUCAUGAGUCCUGCAAUAAAACAUGACCAUUAGAUAUGUAAUUUUCAUAUAUUGUAAUUUUGUAUUUGUAAUGUAUAAAUACCAAAUAAUGUAAUAUGGAAUAAAUUGCAUUAUGGGUUGUAUGCAUUUAACAUGAUAAA